GUCUCUGUGGUGUUCAGCACAUUAGAUUUUCAUUCUAAGGGGGUGGGGCCUAUCCACCGGAGAUA
Molecule: transfer RNA, 65 nt
Filed under: Tylomelania sarasinorum
Lineage: Eukaryota; Metazoa; Mollusca; Gastropoda; Pachychilidae
Description: tRNA-Glu
Source: RNAcentral